RNAcentral lists this ribosomal RNA (924 nucleotides) under Triticum aestivum (bread wheat). RNAcentral's name for it is "partial small subunit ribosomal RNA". Lineage: Eukaryota; Viridiplantae; Streptophyta; Magnoliopsida; Poales; Poaceae. The record is from RNAcentral.
AUGGCCGCCGAGCCACCGCCUUGCGCCGCCCGUUCGUCGCCCCACCGCAGCGUCCUGCUUCACUCAACGCCCCUGCGCGCUAGUCCCUCAACCAGAGCACCACACCUACGCUCCUGUUUCCUCCUCGUAACCAGUGAGCGUCGCGCCGUCUUCUUCUCCUCCUGCUCGCACCAGGACCCUGCAGGUCGCCGCCCCUUCAUGCGAGCCUCCUCCGAGCGCCCCCUUCUCCCCCACCAUCGGUCGGCCACCAGCGAGGCUCCGUCUUCGAGUCGUCCGGCCAUCUUCUAUGGCGUCUCGGCCUCUUGCCCGAGCCCAGGCCGCUGCUGCGCCUCCUUGCCUCCUCCGCACCCCUCCGUCGUUCACCACCGGCAGCCUCGACGGUCAGAGCAAGCAUGGUGCCACGCGCUCCCUCCGCGGGCCAUGGACGCCGCCCCUCCAAGCCGCAGUUCGGCCAGCGUGCCUUCCCACCUCCUUGUCGUCUUGCUGCAGCCCCGCGUUGACUUCCCCUACUCACAGGAGCUCGUCAUCUCCAGCGCUACCCCUGCCCGAGUCAAGUGCCACCAAGUCCUGAUGAAUGCGCCAAGUCCUCAGCGAGACCUGUUUUUCGUCAAAUUCGGCUACGCGGCUAUGACCUCAGAUUUGGACCACAAGCGGCAAGUACCCCACCGGCAAGACCACACGAACGCUCGAACAACUACAUACCGAAACACCAAGUCCAUCUUCGAACAUGUACGACUACCGCCGACUUCGGAUAAGUCAAGUCCAACAACGACUGUGUACAACUAUCGGCGACCCCGAAGGACUACGAAACUUGAACCUCUACUUCCCCUUCAAAACAUGUACCACUACCGCCGCCCGAACAUCUAUAGAGCAUGUACCAUGACCAUCGGUGAAGACUCCGUGGACAUCAAGUUCCUCGCGUGA